This is a long non-coding RNA of Leguminivora glycinivorella, 579 nucleotides long. RefSeq lists it as uncharacterized. Lineage: Eukaryota; Metazoa; Arthropoda; Insecta; Lepidoptera; Tortricidae. The record is from RefSeq and is a predicted model, not a curated record. The transcript is spliced from 3 exons.
ACCAAAAGGAAAAACGCUUCUCAGAUCCCGAAACGUGACGCGGGCUGGUCGCUGGACAGAAACGUCGUCGAAGAAUGUGCUAGUAAAAGCAAGAAGAUCAAACCAAAGAAAACUGUGAAAAAGCACGCAUCGUCCGUGUUAAUAACUGAUACGUUGCAGGACAGUGACACUGACCUUGAUGAAGAAGACAAAACUAAAAGUACGACAACCAAGUCGAAGAAAGAGACACCUGAUUGUAAGCCAGGCUGGUUUUCAAACUGGGGUGACGAAGGACAUGUUGAAGCCCAGCGUCGAGCAUCCGCUGCCAACUCUCUGUCGUCCGUGCUGAUACGUCGCGUCCCAGGCGGCUACGUGCGUCGCACAGCUUCGUUAACCGGUGAUCUUUUUAUUGAUCUUAAACUGUAUAACGUAGUAGAUAUUCAAAACGUUCCAUCUGAAGCCCGUUGGGAGAAAGCGCUGGUUAAUUUUAAAUAUCGUGUGGAUUCCGUUUCGGAUAUAGUAGAUGGAAUAAAUAAGAUUCUAAAGCGUUGUAAGGACGACUUUACAGAUGAAGGAACCUUUUUCCCAGAUAAAAAAAGC